UAUCCGGAAUCAUUGGGUUUAAAGGGUCCGUAGGCGGUUUAGUAAGUCAGUGGUGAAAGCCCAUCGCUCAACGGUGGAACGGCCAUUGAUACUGCUAGACUUGAAUUAUUAGGAAGUAACUAGAAUAUGUAGUGUAGCGGUGAAAUGCUUAGAGAUUACAUGGAAUACCAAUUGCGAAGGCAGGUUACUACUAAUGGAUCGACGCUGAUGGACGAAAGCGUGGGUAGCGAACAGGAUUAGAUACCCUGGUAGUCCACGCCGUAAACGAUGGAUACUAGCUGUUGGGUGCAAGUUCAGUGGCUAAGCGGAAGUGAUAAGUAUCCCACCUGGGGAGUACGUUCGCAAGAAUGAAACUCAAAGGAAUUGACGGGGGCCCGCACAAGCGGUAA
This 389-nucleotide ribosomal RNA is filed under the name uncultured bacterium. Its description in RNAcentral is "bacterial SSU rRNA". It matches the Rfam family "Bacterial small subunit ribosomal RNA", at positions 542 to 935 of the family's 1533-position model. The record is from RNAcentral.